CCGAGUGUAGCUCAGUUGGUAGAGCGAUUGACUGUAGUGUUCUAUACUGUGUCUUAGAAUACUCGGAAAUCAAUUGGUCGCUGGUUCGAUUCCGGCCACUCGGA
This 104-nucleotide transfer RNA is filed under the name Phytophthora sojae. RNAcentral's name for it is "tRNA PHYSODRAFT_t1379". It matches the Rfam family "tRNA". From Rfam's summary of the family: Transfer RNA (tRNA) molecules are approximately 80 nucleotides in length. RNAcentral also lists the same sequence under 1 other name. The record is from RNAcentral. Lineage: Eukaryota; Oomycota; Peronosporomycetes; Peronosporales; Peronosporaceae.